GGAGGGGUGGCAGAGCGGUCGAAUGCGCCAGUCUUGAAAACUGGUGACGUCGUGAGGCGUCCGCGGGUUCGAAUCCCGCCCCCUCCG
Molecule: transfer RNA, 87 nt
Filed under: Solirubrobacterales bacterium
Lineage: Bacteria; Bacillati; Actinomycetota; Thermoleophilia; Solirubrobacterales
Description: tRNA-Ser
Rfam family: tRNA
About the family: Transfer RNA (tRNA) molecules are approximately 80 nucleotides in length.
Source: RNAcentral